GACGAACGCUGGCGGCGUGCUUAACACAUGCAAGUCGAACGGACAGGCCCUGCGUUUGUUGGGUGCUCGAUUGGCGCACGCGUGAGUAACACGUGAGUAUCCUGUCCUUGUCUUUCGGGUAUCUUUAGGGAACUCGGGCGAUUACCCGAUAGGAGCUCCUGCUGCAUGGUGUUGGAUGGAAAGUUUCGGCGGUUGGGGAUGGACUCGCUGCUUAUCAGCUUGUUGGUGUGGUAGUGGAUUACCAAGGCUUAGACGGGUAGCCGGCCUGAGAGGGUGACCGGCGACAUUGCGACUGAGAUACGGCGCAGAAUGCUACGGGAGGCAGCAGGGGGGAAUAUUGCACAAUGGGGGGAAGCCUGAUGCAGCAACGCCGCGUGCGGGAUGACGGGCUUCGGGUUGUAAACAGCUUUCGACUGUGACGAAGAGUGAGUGACGGUACUGGGUAAAGAAGCACCGGCUAACUACGUG
This 468-nucleotide ribosomal RNA is filed under the name uncultured bacterium. Its description in RNAcentral is "partial 16S ribosomal RNA". It matches the Rfam family "Bacterial small subunit ribosomal RNA", at positions 28 to 507 of the family's 1533-position model. The record is from RNAcentral.